Triticum aestivum (bread wheat) is the source of this 4209-nucleotide RNA transcript. It is a transcript of the gene named disease resistance protein Pik-2-like, with no coding region annotated. NCBI's taxonomy places the organism in Eukaryota, Viridiplantae, Streptophyta, Magnoliopsida, Poales, Poaceae. The transcript has 2 exons. The record is from RefSeq and is a predicted model, not a curated record.
CCGGCUCUUAGGGUUCACAUCAUGCGUUCUCACCCUCGCGUGAGUCAACUCACCGGAUCCCUAGAGAGAGAAAAGCCCUAGGACCCCCCCGUCCUUUCUCCUGUCUCCAUUUUCUUUAGCGGCGGCGGCGGCGGCGGCCGAUUGAUUCCCGCGCGGCGCAGCAGCGGUGGAUCGAAUCCUGGAGGCGCUUCUCCUGCGCAGAGGAUUACAGCGCAAAUCAUUGGCUGCUUGCGACGCGAGCGGCUGGCGGAAUCAGGGGCCAGGGAGGAGCGGUAGCAGCGACGGCUUGAUCUUGGUGCGCUUCCAAGUCACGGCAAGCAGCGAAGGUUCUGUUCGUUCUUCUCCCCAAAUCAAGGGAAUAUACCAGGCUUGUUUUGAUAGGCGGCGGCUACACCUGGGCAGCGCGAGUCCGCCGCAGAGGCUUACAGCGCGAAUCAUUGGCUGCUUGCGACGGGAGCGACUGGCGGAAUCAGGGUCCGGGGAGGAGCGGCAAGCAGCGGCAGCAGUGACGGCUUGAUAUUGGUGCGCGUCCACCUCACUGCAAACAAUAAGGUUCUGUUCGUUCUUCUCCCCUAAUCAAGGCUCGCAAGCAACACCAUCUGUACGAGGCUGGUUUUGGUCAGCGGCGGCUACUCCUGGGACGGCCGAGAGACACACACAAAGAUGAACUCAGUGACAGAGAGCGGAUUGAACUCAGUUACAGAGAGUGGAUUGAACUCCCGAUGACAGAAAGCCGAUUGAACUCAGUGACAGAGAGCGGAUUGAACUCAGUGACAGAGAGCGGAUUGAACUCAGUUACAGAGAGUGGAUUGAACUCGGUGACAGAAAGCCGAUUGAACUCAGUAAGAGAGAGAGGAUUCUUCAGUUUGGUGGAUGAACCUAUGGUGACAGGAUCGAUCGACUCCCUGCUCGCUAAGCUCAACUUCACCACCAAACUGAAGAAGAGGCGUGCCAAAGUAAUGAAAGAACUAUAUCAAGAUGUGUUGAAACUAAAGAAAGGUUUCGACAAUCUUGGCGGGGGCCGGGUGAUGGAUCCAUGUGCCCUAUUGUGGACGCAGUUUGCUAGAGAUCUGGUCUUUGACAUUGAAGAGUGGGUUGAUGCGAAGCCGGGUUCCGCAAAUUCAUCAAAGAGAGAGUUAAUUGAUCUGUUCAAGCACCGGAUCCAUAAUGUGUGUGAGGAGUUCACGUGGUGCGACCUUCUCGGUCCUACCGAAGAUCAGUUCAAGCUUAUCCAUGAUUUGCAUAAAGAUUUGGAGAGCCUUAAGAAAGAUCUCCCCUAUAAGUUUGGCCCACCGGUGAAUCCUGAGCAGUCAGUGUGGAUGGAUCAAACAUGUGAGCUGGUCAGCAAGGUGGAAACUUUGGUCCAUCAAAAGCCAAUAAAGGACAUGGAUGAAUCAUGGGAAAAACUAAUACAGGAAUACAAGGCCAAAAUACAACAAACACGUGAUACACCCAGUACAGCCCCCAUUUGCUGUCCACUGCUUUCUGAGGAGAAAACCCACAACCUCAUUGGUCUCAAAGGACCAAGUAGUAAGCUUCUCAUGCAUCUGACUUCCUCGCAGGCAAGGCUAAAGCUGGUGUCUGUCGUCGGAAUGGAAGGCCUUGGUAAGACUACUCUUGCCAAGGAGGUAUAUGCAAAGCUUCAAAGCAAGUUCGAGUGCCGAUCUUUUGUUACUGUUGGCAAAAACGCGUAUCUAACUGCCACUCUACUGGAUAUACUUCAUCAAGUAAAGCCACAGGGUACUAUUCCUCGCAAUGGCCCGGGAGCUCCUGAAAUUAACCAAGUCGUAACCGAGCUCAGGGAAUACCUCGUCACAAAGAGCUAUUUCAUCUUAAUUGAUGACAUUUGGAGCAUCCGGGUAUGGGAUAUUCUUAAUUGUGCUUUGCCUGAGGAUGAUCUUGGAAGUAGAGUAUUGAUCACAACUUGCAUCAGCAAUGUUGCCAAAUGUUGUUCUAUGCGCCCCGUUGAUGCCAUCCACCAGAUGGAGCCUCUUAGCGAGGAAGACUCAAAGACAUUAUUUCAUGAGGAGGUAAAAAGGCCCGCUGCAAAUGAGUUGUUGAAAAUGUGCGGUGGCAUGCCAUUGGCAGUAAUUGUUGCAGCCGGCAGGAAAUCUGCAGGACUAGCUGAGUCAGAGAUCGGUGAGCGAUGUAUCCUUUCGACAUCAGACCAAUAUUCCACAUCAGAUGGGAUGAGAAUGAUAUUGCAAAUGAGCUAUGAUGAACUGCCUGCUCCCUUGAAGUCUUGUCUUCUAUACCUUUGUGUUUUCCCAGAAUAUUAUACCAUCAAGAAAGAGCGUUUGAUAUGGCUGUGGAUCGCUGAGGGAUUUAUCUUAGGAAGAUGUGAAGAAAGCUUGUGGAGGACAGGAGAAAUCUCAAAUCUAUUUCAACGAGCUCAUCAGUAGGGGGCUGAUUCAGCCAGUGUUUGGCUACGAAGAUGGCCAGGCUGUGGCGUGUACGGUGCAUGGUGUGAUCCUUGAGUUCAUCAAAUCUUUGUCUAGGAAAUACAAGUUUGCUACGACGGGUGCAGACUUGAGGUCUGGAGUAUGUCCUUGGUACCCAAUUCGCCAUUUCUCAGUCGAUUACUGCAGUAAGCAAGAUGAAGUGAACACAUUGGACUUAAGAACCCUGCACCUUUCUAGCAUGCGGACCCUCCAAGUCUUUGGGCCUGUUGGAUGGACAACUCUCCGCACAGGUUCUAAGGUUAUGAAAGGGAAGGCUGUUGCGGGGGAUACUGAGGGGAUCCCUCUUCUGUCAACCUUCAAAAAUUUACGGGUACUCGAUCUGGAAGAUAAUGACAAUUUGAGAAGCCACCAUCUGAAAGGCAUUGGAGGGUUGGUUCUGCUAAGGUACCUGGGGCUUAGAGGGUCUGCUAUCUGUGCAUUACCAGACGAAAUAGGAAAGCUGGAGCACUUGGAGACGCUAGAUGUCAGGCACACUAACCUGAGAAAUCUGCCUGCAUCUAUAGUUGGAUUGGAAAGGUUGGUAUGCCUACUGAUUGAAGAUGCCGUGGAGAUGCUGGGCAAUAUCCUUGUAAUGCAAGGACUACAAGAAGUAUCAACGAUCAGGGUCGACAACAUCGAGUCACUCCAUGAGGUGGUGGAGCUGCUGGCUCGGUCGGAGAGGCUGAGCAUCCUUGGCUUGAGCUUUGACGGACUAAGCCCAUCUCUGGACAGUGCACGUGCAUUCACCGAUUUAUUGAGGGCGGUUGGACAGUCUAAACUUCGGUCCCUAUCUCUGCAUUGUCUUCAUGGUGACUGGAUUGGCCUACUGGACUCGAGACCAUACCAGCUGCGAAGAUUUGAGGUGUCUAUACCUGUUCCAGUCUUGGAAAGUACUGUAUUUAUUAUUCCCUGCUGUAUCACCCACUUGAAUAUUGAAGUGGCUCAGUUGGGAGAGGAAGGUCUCAUUGUGAUCGCGUCCAUGCCCCAGCUUGUCCUUCUCAAAUUAGCAUCUUCAGGACCUGCUGCUGCCAUGAUGGACACGGACACAUCCUUACGAAAACAGAGAAGAAGAGCGAGAAUUCGGAGCGGAGCCUUUCUGUGUCUUAAGGUGUUCUGGUUCACAUGCAAGGCUGGUGGGAAUGAGGUGCAGUUUGAUCCAGGAGCCAUGCCACAGCUGCAGGGGCUGCGGCUCCACUUCAACACUCUAGAGACGCUGUCCCUUUAUGGAGAUUUUGAUUUUGGCAUUGAGCAUCUCUCUAGUCUCAACAGAAUCCAUGUGACCUUCACAUGUGAGGAUACUGCCGCUCCAGAGGUGGUGCAUGCAGAGGCUGCCAUCAAACAGCAAGUAUCUCAGAUCUCCUCCGCCAACACACCAACAAUAGAGUUCAGCAGAGAGAAACCCAGGAUGCUCGAGGAGAAAAAGAAGACGGUGGCCAUGAUCACCCAGAAAAGUAGCUUCAGUAGAUGGUUGAGGGGAAAAAGGAGAGGAUAGGCCCGCUUACAGAGAAGGAACACGAUCACUCUGCACGAAAUGAUGAUUGUAUUUCUGGUUAAGCAAGUGGCGAAAUAUCAACCGUUGAGGUGACGACUCCCAACUUUGCUUUGCCUGUUUUGUUUGUGAGCUUUACAAUUUGUAGGUGUCUUUUCCCAUUGUGUGCAAAGUUAUUUCCAGCUGACAUGAUGGUGCAUGAUUGAUGGACCAACUCAUGGUAAUACUAUAGUAUAACUCUAUGCAAGCGUAAACUUUUUAACAAAUGGUAUUAUGGUA